GGAUUGUGGCUCAGUGGUAGAGCACUCACUUUGCACACAUGAGGCACUGGGUUCAAUCCUCAGCACCA
Molecule: transfer RNA, 68 nt
Filed under: Marmota monax (woodchuck)
Lineage: Eukaryota; Metazoa; Chordata; Mammalia; Rodentia; Sciuridae
Description: tRNA.Undet
Source: RNAcentral